Molecule: unclassified non-coding RNA, 870 nt
Filed under: Hevea brasiliensis (rubber tree)
Lineage: Eukaryota; Viridiplantae; Streptophyta; Magnoliopsida; Malpighiales; Euphorbiaceae
Source: RNAcentral
CGACCCUAAAUUCUUGGGAUAAAGGCUUAGUAGUUGAGUUAGAUACCUUCCUAAAAUAAAUUUGCAUUGAUAUAUGACGAAUAUAACUGUAUCUUCUAAUGUACUUCCCAGAGAAUUGGUAAACAAAAAGAAGACAUGUUCAAACCAAACAAGGCCUUACCAUCAUAUUAUGGCUUUCAACUAUUAAUAGAACCCUUCCAUAUUCAACUCACCACCAAUUAUUUAUAUCUUAACAACCUUCACUAAUUCCUUCAAUGAAGAGUAUUACGGCUUCUUAAUGCUUCACUCUACCUGCUCUUGUCUGUUCUCCAAACUACACCACCCCUAUAUUGGCCAACGCCUCACUACUUUAAUAGUCAUAAAGUCUCAAUCUGAGAAUCAAAUCAUCUAGAUAUUGUAUUUUACUAAUUUCAGACUCCUGGAAGUCCUGAACAACCAAAUUUCUUCAAUAACAUAUAGAACCAAAGAGCAUGAGAUGUAGUGAGAAUGAUAAACAAGUUGCAGUUGAAGUUUUCCUUAUGAGUAGAUUGGGAACCAUCAGAAAAACUGGAACCCUGGUUAGAAGCACCUCCAUUUUGAGAAACCUUCAUUCAAAGCUCAAAUGAUUAAUUCUAAACAUGAAUUCUGACUAAUAUAGUAUAGAGCUAAAAAAGAACAAAAUGUGAGAGAUAUACUUCUUUGGCAAACUGAGCAUUCUUGGAUGAGAUUGUCACUGAAAUGUCUUCAUCGCUUGUAAAAGGACUCUUUGGAAAUGUUUCUUCAGAAGAGACAUGUACAAAAGCAUAUUUCUUAGUUUCCUUCUUUAUCUUGGUUUCAUCCUUAGCAUCUGUGACUUUUGUUGCUUCUACAGGAACAUCUACUGUGACUGCA